This 253-nucleotide ribosomal RNA is filed under the name uncultured bacterium. Its description in RNAcentral is "partial 16S ribosomal RNA". It matches the Rfam family "Bacterial small subunit ribosomal RNA", at positions 524 to 776 of the family's 1533-position model. The record is from RNAcentral.
UACAGAGGGUGCAAGCGUUGUUCGGAAUUAUUGGGCGUAGAGCGCGUGUAGGCGGCAGUGCAAGUCGGGUGUGAAAGCCCUCAGCUCAACUGAGGAAGUGCGCCCGAAACUGCAUUGCUUGAGUACCGGAGAGGAUGGCGGAAUUCCCGAAGUAGAGGUGAAAUUCGUAGAUAUCGGGAGGAACACCGGUGGCGAAGGCGGCCAUCUGGACGGAUACUGACGCUGAGACGCGAAAGCGUGGGUAGCAAACAGG